GUCUUUUAGAGUUUAAUUUAAAGUUUAACCUGCCCAUUGAUUAUAUUUAAAGGCUGCAGUAUUUUGACUGUACAAAGGUAGCAUAAUCAUUAGUUUUUUAAUUGAAAACUAGAAUGAAUGGUUGGAUGAAAUAUUGACUGUUUUAAAUUAAAUUAUAGAAUUUUACUUUUAAAUUAAAAGGUUUAGAUAAAUUUAAAAGACGAGAAGACCCUAUAGAGUUUAAUAUUUAUUAUUUAAAAUAAAUUAAGUUGAAUUUUUAUUUAAUGUAAAUUAAAUAUUUUAUUGGGGUGAUAGUAAAAUUUUAUAAACUUUUAUUUAUUAAACCAUUAAUUUAUGAAUUUUUGAUCCAUUAAUAAUGAUUACAAGAUUAAAUUACCUUAGGGAUAACAGCGUAAUUUUUUUUUUAAGUUCUUAUUAAUAAAAAAGUUUGCGACCUCGAUGUUGGAUUAAGAUUAAUUUUAGGUGCAGAAGUUUAAAUUUUAAGUCUGUUCGACUUUUAAAUUCUU
This 506-nucleotide ribosomal RNA is filed under the name Leptosciarella rejecta. Its description in RNAcentral is "partial 16S ribosomal RNA". The record is from RNAcentral. Lineage: Eukaryota; Metazoa; Arthropoda; Insecta; Diptera; Sciaridae.